GUGUACAGUUCUCUGGUCUUCCUAAAGACAAGGCAUUUGAGUUGAAAAACAAUAAAGGUGUUGAGACAGUUGAAUUAGAAGCAUCAAAUAUUUAUCAUGUACAUAUCCAACAGUUUGAAGCAUCCAAGAUCAACCUGGUGCCCUGUAAAAAUCUGUAGUUAUUAAAGCUAGGAAAACUGCACAUAACAGACAGCUGCUUCAAUUACCAUAUUUCUCAACUUCCGCUCAUUGAGUACUUGUCCGUAUAUUGGUGUGAUAAGUUGGAAAGUAUUAAGAUUUCAAGUCAUCGUCUUAAGACAUUACACUUAUUGAAAUGCAACAAGCUGGUUGAAGUCGAGAUUAACACUCCUAAGUUAUGUAAACUUGCAUAUCUUGGUGGUAAUACAAUAUCCUUUUCAGUGACUGCUUUGGCUUAUUUGUCAAAAGCUACCUACCAGAUGUUGCACUCCAAUGCUCCUUGGCAUAUUAAAAAGAUUGAAUUGCUUGCAAAUUUGAGUAAUUCCAAAUUAUUGAAGUUGCUAAAUAUUAAAUCCGCUGAGGAUAUGGUUAUACCAAAGGAAUUGAGAGACAUAGUAUCAAUGUAUCAUCCCCAUCAUAUAAAGUCAAGCAGUUGAAGGUAGAGAUAUCGAAGUCAUUUACUACACAUGAAUUCAUUGAACUUGUGGAUAGCUUGCUCUGGAUUUCUCCUCUUCUAGAGCUUUUGUUAAUAAAAUAUGGGAAAUGGAUAGAUGAAGAUAAGUGUUACGAGACCAUAUCUUUCAAGUUCUCCUAUGAAAAGCCCAUUCUUGGAGGGGAGAAUUCUAGUUGUUGCAAAUUCCUACCAGUUCCUAGUUGGAGGCAUUGCUUAAAGAGCGUCACGAUAGAGAACUUUAGAGCAUUCACAAAUGUAGAGACUCUAAAGGCAGAUGAAGAAUUUCUAGAGAAGUACUUUUAUGAGAACGCAAAGUUCUUGGAGAGCUUCCAAUUCAUUCCUAGGGCUGUUGCUUAAACAAAAAAUUAUAAGUAUCCUUUUAGAGAAUGUAGGAAUUUUAAGUUGAAUGAUUGAGAGAAUGGAGACUAAUAUGAUGUCCACUUCUAUCAUCUGUAAACAUCAUCUUUGUCUAUGCCUAGAGUGCUUGGCCUGAUCACUUGAGGAUUACUUUUAAGUCGUGAUGUAAGACAAACUAUACAGUUUAAUUUAUUGUUUGAUUUUGAUAUU
RNA transcript from Quercus lobata, 1198 nucleotides. RefSeq lists it as uncharacterized. Lineage: Eukaryota; Viridiplantae; Streptophyta; Magnoliopsida; Fagales; Fagaceae. The record is from RefSeq and is a predicted model, not a curated record. The transcript has 3 exons.